CACGCCGUAAACGAUGGAUGCUCGGUGUCGGGGGUAUCGACCCCCUCGGCGCCCAAGGUAACCCGGUAAGCAUCCCGCCUGGGGAGUACGGCCGCAAGGUUGAAACUCAAAGGAAUUGACGGGGGCCCGCACAAGCGGUGGAGCAUGUUGUUUAAUACGUCACUAACCGUAGAACCUUACCAGGUCUUGACAUCUGCCGAACCCCCUGGAAACGGGGGGGUGCCCGCAAGGGAGCGGCAAGACAGGUGU
Molecule: ribosomal RNA, 249 nt
Filed under: uncultured bacterium
Lineage: Bacteria
Description: partial 16S ribosomal RNA
Rfam family: Bacterial small subunit ribosomal RNA
Source: RNAcentral